CAAACACAGCACCUUCUACAGUAUUAUUCCAGUCACUCACAACUGCAUGUGCCCACAAAGGAGCAUUUUUAAUAGAACUGUAGAAGCGUCAUGCUGUUCACCUGUUGUUGAGGUAAGAGAUGCAGCCCCUGGAGACCUUGCCUGAAGUGGAAAUGGAACCGCUUGCUGCUGGUAAACAGCAGUCACUGAGGGGAAUGGCGCACCAAGUGCAUGAAAGACACUCACUCUUGAGCCUUGUAGAAGAAAUCUGGAGUGCUAGCUGGAGCCAAAGACACCCUACCUAAGAACUGCUAUGAAGAUGUGUCUUCUCCCCCAAGAUGAGGUACCAGGAAUCAAACUCAGGUUGUCAGGCCAAGUGGCAAGCACCUUUACCUACUGGGCCAUCUCAGAGACUUACUUGCAAAGUUUUUAAUGAAGGACGGAAGAAACCCGGAGUCAGACGGAUGACUACUCCAGCUCCAAGUCCCAGGAUACGCAGUGGAUUAAGUGAGCACUUCACUUGUGACCAAGAGAUGACUGGGGGUUCCGGAGGAGGA
Molecule: long non-coding RNA, 536 nt
Filed under: Cricetulus griseus (Chinese hamster)
Lineage: Eukaryota; Metazoa; Chordata; Mammalia; Rodentia; Cricetidae
Description: lncRNA (ENSCGRG00015032527.1)
Source: RNAcentral